RNAcentral lists this ribosomal RNA (519 nucleotides) under uncultured eukaryote. Its description in RNAcentral is "SSU rRNA". It matches the Rfam family "Eukaryotic small subunit ribosomal RNA", at positions 1161 to 1699 of the family's 1831-position model. The record is from RNAcentral.
AGGGCACCACCAGGAGUGGAGCCUGCGGCUUAAUUUGACUCAACACGGGGAAACUUACCCGGCCUGGACACUGGAAGGAUUGACAGAUUGAGAGCUCUUUCUUGAUUCAGUGGGUGGUGGUGCAUGGCCGUUCUUAGUUGGUGGAGCGAUUUGUCUGGUUAAUUCCGAUAACGAACGAGACUCUAGCCUAUUAAAUAGGCUCUCGGCUUUUAAACGCCGGGAGGACUUCUUAGAGGGACAGGUGGCGGUUCAGCCGCACGAAAGAGAGCAAUAACAGGUCUGUGAUGCCCUUUGUUGUCCGGGGCCGCACGCGCGCUACACCGAAGAGAUCAGCGUGCUUUACGUUCCUGCUCCGACCGGAGUGGGGAACCCAGUGAACCUUCUUCGUGAUUGGGAUAGAAGAUUGUAAUUAUUCUUCUUGAACGAGGAAUUCCCAGUAAAUGCGAGUCAUAAGCUCGCGUUGAUUACGUCCCUGCCCUUUGUACACACCGCCCGUCGCUACUACCGAUUGAACGAUUU